This 490-nucleotide ribosomal RNA is filed under the name uncultured bacterium. RNAcentral describes it as "partial 16S ribosomal RNA". It matches the Rfam family "Bacterial small subunit ribosomal RNA", at positions 30 to 507 of the family's 1533-position model. The record is from RNAcentral.
AUUGAACGCUGGCGGCAGGCCUAACACAUGCAAGUCGAAUGGUAACAGGAAACAGCUUGCUGUUUCGCUGACGAGUGGCGGACGGGUGAGGAAUGUCUGGGAAACUGCCUGAUGGAGGGGGAUAACUACUGGAAACGGUAGCUAAUACCGCAUAACGUCGCAAGACCAAAGAGGGGGACCUUCGGGCCUCUUGCCAUCAGAUGUGCCCAGAUGGGAUUAGCUAGUAGGUGGGGUAACGGCUCACCUAGGCGACGAUCCCUAGCUGGUCUGAGAGGAUGACCAGCCACACUGGAACUGAGACACGGUCCAGACUCCUACGGGAGGCAGCAGUGGGGAAUAUUGCACAAUGGGCGCAAGCCUGAUGCAGCCAUGCCGCGUGUAUGAAGAAGGCCUUCGGUUUGUAAAGUACUUUCAGCGGGGAGGAAGGGAGUAAAGUUAAUACCUUUGCUCAUUGACGUUACCCGCAGAAGAAGCACCGGCUAACUCCGUG